GCUUCCGUAGCUCAGUGGAUAGAGCACCCGCCUCCUAAGCGGGGGGUCGCGCGUUCGAGUCGCGCCGGGAGUGCCA
This 76-nucleotide transfer RNA is filed under the name Oscillospiraceae bacterium. RNAcentral's name for it is "tRNA-Arg". It matches the Rfam family "tRNA". From Rfam's summary of the family: Transfer RNA (tRNA) molecules are approximately 80 nucleotides in length. Their secondary structure includes four short double-helical elements and three loops (D, anti-codon, and T loops). Further hydrogen bonds mediate the characteristic L-shaped molecular structure. tRNAs have two regions of fundamental functional importance: the anti-codon, which is responsible for specific mRNA codon recognition, and the 3' end, to which the tRNAs corresponding amino acid is attached (by aminoacyl-tRNA synthetases). tRNAs cope with the degeneracy of the genetic code in two manners: having more than one tRNA (with a specific anti-codon) for a particular amino acid; and 'wobble' base-pairing, i.e. permitting non-standard base-pairing at the 3rd anti-codon position. Lineage: Bacteria; Bacillati; Bacillota; Clostridia; Eubacteriales; Oscillospiraceae. The record is from RNAcentral.